GUUAGUUCCUAAAGAGAUAAAAGUGUGUUUUUGAUAUUGGUUCUAAGAGUUCGAUUUCAAUAACUACCUGGUGUGCAAUGAAGAUAAUGUGCUGUGUGAGUGGAGAUUAUUGUAACAUCCUAACUUAUGUUUAUGGUUUUAAAGAAAAACUAAAAGAAUUGGUUUAGUUAUGUCAUUAAAUUUCAGGUAUUUUUGGUCACUUGUCAAACAAAAUUUAUGUUGAAACGUGUUUGAACUGUUAUAGCUAAACAUAUUAGUGAUCGAUCGAAAAAGGGGUUUCAAUACCGUGGGAAUGAGUGUAAAGAACAUGAAAAAUCAUGCAGUGAUUCUAAGCAGUGCCAGUACUGUAAUAUUUAAGAUUUCAUAGAAAAUUUAAAAUUAAAGCCCUUAUUUAUAUAUUAAAACAUUGCUAAAUUUUUGAAAUUUCAAUACAACUUCUAUUAUAUAAAAACUAACAAAAUCUAUUAAUUUUAGAAAAAUAAGCAUAACUCAACUUACAAAGUAAUAAUUAUUUGAUUAAUAACUGUUAUUUUUAUUCAUUUUCAUAUUUAAAUGAAAAUUGACAUUUAAAUUUUAACCGUGUUCAGUUUUAUUAAUAGAUCUUAUCAUUUUUACACUUUUCUUAUAUUUUGGACAGUACAAAU
This 644-nucleotide long non-coding RNA is filed under the name Brassica napus (rape). RNAcentral's name for it is "long non-coding RNA (BNAP_LNC020217)". Lineage: Eukaryota; Viridiplantae; Streptophyta; Magnoliopsida; Brassicales; Brassicaceae. The record is from RNAcentral.